AGCUCCAAUAGCGUAUAUUAAAGUUGUUGCAGUUAAAAAGCUCGUAGUUGGAUUUCUGGCAGAAGUGACCGGCCACACACACUGUGUGUGAGUUGUGCAUUUUGGCCAUCCUUGGUGAGAUCCUGUUUGGCAUUAAGUUGUCGGGCAGGGGAUAACCAUCGUUUACUGUGAAAAAAUUAGAGUGUUUAAAGCAGGCUUAUGCCGUUGAAUAUAUUAGCAUGGAAUAAUAAGAUAGGACUUUGAGUCUAUUUUGUUGGUUUGCGAGUCAAAGUAAUGAUUAAUAGGGACAGUUGGGGGUAUUCGUAUUUCAUUGUCAGAGGUGAAAUUCUUGGAUUUCUGAAAGACGAACUACUGCGAAAGCAUUUACCAAGGAUGUUUUCAUUA
RNAcentral lists this ribosomal RNA (384 nucleotides) under Skeletonema sp. RNAcentral's name for it is "partial small subunit ribosomal RNA". It matches the Rfam family "Eukaryotic small subunit ribosomal RNA", at positions 587 to 975 of the family's 1831-position model. The record is from RNAcentral. Lineage: Eukaryota; Bacillariophyta; Thalassiosirophyceae; Thalassiosirales; Thalassiosiraceae.